GAUCCGGUAGUUCAGCUGGUUAGAAUGCCGCCCUGUCACGGCGGAGGUCGCGGGUUCGAGUCCC
RNAcentral lists this transfer RNA (64 nucleotides) under Chryseobacterium polytrichastri. RNAcentral's name for it is "tRNA_Asp_GTC". It matches the Rfam family "tRNA", at positions 1 to 61 of the family's 71-position model. From Rfam's summary of the family: Transfer RNA (tRNA) molecules are approximately 80 nucleotides in length. Their secondary structure includes four short double-helical elements and three loops (D, anti-codon, and T loops). The record is from RNAcentral. Lineage: Bacteria; Pseudomonadati; Bacteroidota; Flavobacteriia; Flavobacteriales; Weeksellaceae.